RNAcentral lists this ribosomal RNA (253 nucleotides) under uncultured bacterium. RNAcentral's name for it is "partial 16S ribosomal RNA". It matches the Rfam family "Bacterial small subunit ribosomal RNA", at positions 524 to 776 of the family's 1533-position model. The record is from RNAcentral.
UACGGAGGGUGCAAACGUUGCUCGGAAUCAUUGGGCGUAAAGCGCGCGCAGGCGGCUUGAUCAGUCUGGGGUGAAAUCUCCCGGCUCAACUGGGAGCGGUCCCUGGAUACUGUCAGUCUUGAGAGACCUAGAGGAGAGCGGAAUUCCUGGUGUAGCGGUGGAAUGUGUAGAUAUCAGGAAGAACAUCGGUGGCGAAGGCGGCUUGCUGGGCCCUUACUGACGCUGAGACUCGAAAGCGUGGGGAGCAAACGGG